UACAUAGGGUGCAAGCGUUGUCCGGAUUUAUUGGGCGUAAAGAGUUCGUAGGCGGUUUUUCGCGUCGGAUGUGAAAACUCAGGGCUCAACCCUGAGCCUGCAUUCGAUACGGGAAGACUCGAGGACGGCAGGGGAGACUGGAACUUCUGGUGUAGCGGUGGAAUGCGCAGAUAUCAGAAAGAACACCAAUGGCGAAGGCAGGUCUCUGGGCCGAUCCUGACGCUGAGGAACGAAAGCGUGGGGAGCAAACAGG
Molecule: non-coding RNA, 253 nt
Filed under: bacterium
Lineage: Bacteria
Also listed under: 2 other names
Description: partial 16S ribosomal RNA
Rfam family: Bacterial small subunit ribosomal RNA
Source: RNAcentral